UACGGAGGGUGCAAGCGUUAUCCGGAUUCACUGGGUUUAAAGGGUGCGUAGGUGGGCAGGUAAGUCAGUGGUGAAAUCUCCGGGCUUAACUCGGAAACUGCCAUUGAUACUAUCUGUCUUGAAUACCGUGGAGGUUAGCGGAAUAUGUCAUGUAGCGGUGAAAUGCUUAGAUAUGACAUAGAACACCAAUUGCGAAGGCAGCUGGCUACACAAAUAUUGACACUGAGGCACGAAAGCGUGGGGAUCAAACAGG
This 253-nucleotide ribosomal RNA is filed under the name uncultured bacterium. RNAcentral's name for it is "partial 16S ribosomal RNA". It matches the Rfam family "Bacterial small subunit ribosomal RNA", at positions 524 to 776 of the family's 1533-position model. The record is from RNAcentral.